GACGAACGCUGGCGGCGUGCUUAACACAUGCAAGUCGAACGAGAUCUUCGGAUCUAGUGGCGGACGGGUGCGUAACACGUGGGAAUCUGCCUUUAGGUAAGGAAUAACUCAGGGAAACUUGAGCUAACACCUUAUAAUGUCUUCGGACCAAAUAUUUAUAGCCUAAAGAUGAGCCCGCGGUAGAUUAGCUAGUUGGUGGG
This 200-nucleotide ribosomal RNA is filed under the name uncultured bacterium. RNAcentral describes it as "partial 16S ribosomal RNA". It matches the Rfam family "Bacterial small subunit ribosomal RNA", at positions 28 to 256 of the family's 1533-position model. The record is from RNAcentral.